This is a non-coding RNA of Homo sapiens (human), 148 nucleotides long. It matches the Rfam family "Metazoan signal recognition particle RNA". From Rfam's summary of the family: The signal recognition particle (SRP) is a universally conserved ribonucleoprotein. It is involved in the co-translational targeting of proteins to membranes. The record is from Rfam. Lineage: Eukaryota; Metazoa; Chordata; Mammalia; Primates; Hominidae.
GCCGGGUGUGGUGGUGCACGCCUGUAAUCCCAGCUACUUGGGAGGCUGAGGCAGGAGAAUCGCUUGAACCUAGGAGGCAGAGGUUGCAGUGAGCGGAGAUCGUGCCACUGCACUCCAGCCUGGGCGACAGAGUGAGACUCUGUCUCAA